UACGUAGGGUGCGAGCGUUAAUCGGAAUUACUGGGCGUAAAGCGUGCGCAGGCGGUUUUGUAAGACAGGCGUGAAAUCCCCGGGCUUAACCUGGGAACUGCGUUUGUGACUGCAAAGCUAGAGUGUGGCAGAGGGGGGUAGAAUUCCGCGUGUAGCAGUGAAAUGCGUAGAUAUGCGGAGGAAUACCGAUGGCGAAGGCAGCCCCCUGGGUCAACACUGACGCUCAUGCACGAAAGCGUGGGGAGCAAAC
RNAcentral lists this ribosomal RNA (250 nucleotides) under uncultured bacterium. RNAcentral's name for it is "partial 16S ribosomal RNA". It matches the Rfam family "Bacterial small subunit ribosomal RNA", at positions 524 to 773 of the family's 1533-position model. The record is from RNAcentral.